RNAcentral lists this ribosomal RNA (497 nucleotides) under uncultured bacterium. Its description in RNAcentral is "partial 16S ribosomal RNA". It matches the Rfam family "Bacterial small subunit ribosomal RNA", at positions 28 to 507 of the family's 1533-position model. The record is from RNAcentral.
GAUGAACGCUGGCGGCGUGCCUAAUACAUGCAAGUCGAGCGAACAGACGAGGAGCUUGCUCCUCUGACGUUAGCGGCGGACGGGUGAGUAACACGUGGAUAACCUACCUAUAAGACUGGGAUAACUUCGGGAAACCGGAGCUAAUACCGGAUAAUAUAUUGAACCGCAUGGUUCAAUAGUUAAAGACGGUUUUGCUGUCACUUAUAGAUGGAUCCGCGCCGCAUUAGCUAGUUGGUAGGGUAACAGCUUACCAAGGCAACGAUGCGUAGCCGACCUGAGAGGGUGAUCGGCCACACUGGAACUGAGACACGGUCCAGACUCCUACGGGAGGCAGCAGUAGGGAAUCUUCCGCAAUGGGCGAAAGCCUGACGGAGCAACGCCGCGUGAGUGAUGAAGGUCUUCGGAUCGUAAAACUCUGUUAUUAGGGAAGAACAAAUGUGUAAGUAACUAUGCACGUCUUGACGGUACCUAAUCAGAAAGCCACGGCUAACUACGUG